GAUCCUGGCUCAGGAUGAACGCUAGCUACAGGACUUAACACAUGCAAGUCGAGGGGAAACGAUAUUGGAAGCUUGCUUCCGAUAGGCGUCGACCGGCGCACGGGUGAGUAACGCGUAUCCAACCUGCCCAUCACUUGGGGAUAACCUUGCGAAAGUAAGACUAAUACCCAAUGACGUCUCUAGAAGACAUCUGAAGGAGAUUAAAGAUUUAUCGGUGAUGGAUGGGGAUGCGUCUGAUUAGCUUGUUGGCGGGGUAACGGCCCACCAAGGCGACGAUCAGUAGGGGUUCUGAGAGGAAGGUCCCCCACAUUGGAACUGAGACACGGUCCAAACUCCUACGGGAGGCAGCAGUGAGGAAUAUUGGUCAAUGGACGAGAGUCUGAACCAGCCAAGUAGCGUGCAGGAUGACGGCCCUAUGGGUUGUAAACUGCUUUUAUAAGGGAAUAAAGUGGGAGUCGUGACUCUUUUUGCAUGUACCUUAUGAAUAAGGACCGGCUAAUUCCGUG
Molecule: ribosomal RNA, 506 nt
Filed under: uncultured bacterium
Lineage: Bacteria
Description: bacterial SSU rRNA
Rfam family: Bacterial small subunit ribosomal RNA
Source: RNAcentral